RNAcentral lists this transfer RNA (103 nucleotides) under Pseudomonadota bacterium. RNAcentral's name for it is "Proteobacteria bacterium tRNA-Pro". It matches the Rfam family "tRNA". Rfam says of the family: Transfer RNA (tRNA) molecules are approximately 80 nucleotides in length. Their secondary structure includes four short double-helical elements and three loops (D, anti-codon, and T loops). Further hydrogen bonds mediate the characteristic L-shaped molecular structure. tRNAs have two regions of fundamental functional importance: the anti-codon, which is responsible for specific mRNA codon recognition, and the 3' end, to which the tRNAs corresponding amino acid is attached (by aminoacyl-tRNA synthetases). tRNAs cope with the degeneracy of the genetic code in two manners: having more than one tRNA (with a specific anti-codon) for a particular amino acid; and 'wobble' base-pairing, i.e. permitting non-standard base-pairing at the 3rd anti-codon position. Lineage: Bacteria; Pseudomonadati; Pseudomonadota. The record is from RNAcentral.
GCCGGUGUGGCGAAAAUGGUAUACGCGCUAGGUUUGGGUCCUAGUGGGCUGUGAUCCUUUGCCGAGGUAGCCCAUGCAGGUUCGAUCCCUGUCACCGGCACCA